AGGACGAACGCUGGCGGCGUGCUUAACACAUGCAAGUCGAACGGAAAGGCCCUGCUUUUGUGGGGUGCUCGAGUGGCGAACGGGUGAGUAACACGUGAGUAACCUGCCCUUGACUUUGGGAUAACUUCAGGAAACUGGGCUAAUACCGGAUAGGAGCUCCUGCUGCAUGGUGGGGUUGGAAAGUUUCGGCGGUUGGGGAUGGACUCGCGGUCUUAUCAGUCUUGUUGGUGGGGUAGUGGCUUAACCGAAGGUCUUUGGACGGGUAGCCGGCUGAGAGGGUCGACGGCACGAGUGGACUGAGAUACGGCCCAGACUCUACGGGAGCAGCGAGGUGGGAAUCUGCACAAGU
This 349-nucleotide ribosomal RNA is filed under the name uncultured soil bacterium. RNAcentral's name for it is "bacterial SSU rRNA". It matches the Rfam family "Bacterial small subunit ribosomal RNA", at positions 26 to 373 of the family's 1533-position model. The record is from RNAcentral.